Molecule: ribosomal RNA, 392 nt
Filed under: uncultured bacterium
Lineage: Bacteria
Description: partial 16S ribosomal RNA
Rfam family: Bacterial small subunit ribosomal RNA
Source: RNAcentral
AUACGGAGGAUCCGAGCGUUAUCCGGAUUUAUUGGGUUUAAAGGGUGCGCAGGCGGCCAUUUAAGUCAGCGGUUAAAUCGUGGGGCUCAACCCCAUUCUGCCGUUGAUACUGGGUGGCUUGAUUGCGGUCGGGGUUGGCGGAAUUCGUUGUGUAGCGGUGAAAUGCAUAGAUAUGACGAAGAACACCGAUUGCGUAGGCAGCUGACCAGACCGCAAAUGACGCUCAUGCACGAAAGUGCGGGGAUCGAACAGGAUUAGAUACCCUGGUAGUCCGCACAGUAAACGAUGAAUACUUGUUUUCGGCGAUAUAAUGUCGGAGGCAAAGCGAAAGCGAUAAGUAUUCCACCUGGGGAGUACGCCGGCAACGGUGAAACUUAAAGGAAUUGACGGGG